AUGCCGCGUGAGUGAAGAAGGCCUUCGGGUUGUAAAGCUCUUUUGUCAGGGAAGAAACACCGGCUCUAACACAGUCCGGGAAUGACGGUACCUGAAGAAUAAGCACCGGCUAACUACGUGCCAGCAGCCGCGGUAAUACGUAGGGUGCGAGCGUUAAUCGGAAUUACUGGGCGUAAAGCGUGCGCAGGCGGUUGUACAAGACAGGCGUGAAAUCCCCGGGCUUAACCUGGGAAUGGCGCCUGUGACUGUACUGCUAGAGUGUGUCAGAGGGGGGUAGAAUUCCACGUGUAGCAGUGAAAUGCGUAGAUAUGUGGAGGAAUACCGAUGGCGAAGGCAGCCCCCUGGGAUAACACUGACGCUCAUGCACGAAAGCGUGGGGAGCAAACAGGAUUAGAUACCCUGGUAGUCCACGCCCUAAACGAUGUCUACUAGUUGUCGGGUCUUAAUUGACUUGGUAACGCAGCUAACGCGUGAAGUAGACCGCCUGGGGAGUACGGUCGCAAGAUUAAAACUCAAAGGAAUUGACGGGGACCCGCACAAGCGGUGGAUGAUGUGGAUUAAUUCGAUGCAACGCGAAAAGACUUACCUACCCUUGACAUGUACGGAACCCUGCUGAGAGGUGGGGGUGCUCAAAAGAGAGCCGCAACACAGGUGGUGCGUUGGUGUGCGCAGCUCGCGUCUUGAGAUUUGGGGGUAAUCUCGAGAAAGAGCGCAACUUUGUCUUAGUUGCUACGAAA
Molecule: ribosomal RNA, 737 nt
Filed under: uncultured bacterium
Lineage: Bacteria
Description: bacterial SSU rRNA
Rfam family: Bacterial small subunit ribosomal RNA
Source: RNAcentral